Molecule: long non-coding RNA, 858 nt
Filed under: Marmota monax (woodchuck)
Lineage: Eukaryota; Metazoa; Chordata; Mammalia; Rodentia; Sciuridae
Source: RNAcentral
CUCAGAUGCGGCUGUCUUUGGAGAGAUCUUCGCUGGGCCCUGAUCCAGUGUGGCUGUGCCUUGGAAGGAGAACUUUGACGGACACUCCCAGGAGGACCAUGUGAAGACGGAGGAGGCAGCCUCCACAAGCCCAGGAGAGGCUCAAACUUGGACUCAGAUGUAGUUUGAGACACAGGUGCUGUGGGUGAAGCCCCUUGGUCUGGGGUGCUUCCCCCUCCAGGGAGGGUGCCUCUGCUCUGCACUCCAGAUCGUUCUGGGCUGGAGCAUCCUUUGAAGAUCGUGGAUUCCAAUGCCAGGGUCGAGUGGCGCCCAGCUCCCCAGCUCUGGCUGGCGCAUUCUGGCCUGAGUCCUACUCUUGCAUCUCUUGGGGGUGCUCAGACAGAGGCUCAACAGAGUCACCACGGUGACCACCCUACUGUGCCCUCAUUGCCUGCUCUCCUUUCCCUGCUGUGAAAGCGACCCUCUCACCUGGAAGGAAAGGGCCACGGUUGGCCUAUUUGGUUCCCAGGUUUUUCUGAUGGGAUAAAUGGCCGACUUCCCAGCCUGGGAGGAGGGGCCUUCCCAAUCUCCCCACCUGACUCCUCAGCCAGGGACCAGCAUGGCCGUCGGUGACAGCCCACGCUAGUCCUCCCUGCUCAGCCUUGGCCUCCUUCUGUGCCCAAGAAAGACAGCAGGGUGUGGGGAGCAGAGAAACCCAGCCCUAUUUCCUCCUGUGCCUCAAAACUGAAACCCCAUUCAUCCUCUGGCCUCCAACUGGAGGUCGGCCUUGUGUUCCUUUCUUUGGCUUCUGGCCCGUGACUUGACAAAAAAGAACCUGGCGUCCUGUGGGCCAAAUCCAGAGGUUUCUUUGCUUUCUUU